RNAcentral lists this long non-coding RNA (2870 nucleotides) under Sus scrofa (pig). RNAcentral describes it as "lncRNA (ENSSSCG00065037506.1)". Lineage: Eukaryota; Metazoa; Chordata; Mammalia; Artiodactyla; Suidae. The record is from RNAcentral.
AGCGAUGGCCAUGGCGGCGGCGGCGGUGCUUGCGGUGUCCUCCCGCUGCUACUUCGGCCUCGCCACCAUUCAGUUCAUGUCUCACGCCCCAUCGUUAUCUUCACUUUCGCUCUACUGUCUCCAAGCCAUUUUUAUACCAGGGGAAUUUAUCCCCCAGUCUAGCCUGAAAAGCACAAAAUUGAUGGAGCGGCGGCUGAACAAGAAGGGCGGGGACGACGGAGUGGAGAAGAAAAGCUGUUUUGAGUUCUAAAAUGCGCCUACCUACCAAGUGGCUUUUUGGUGAUCAGAUCUAUGUUACCCAGUAAUGCUGCAUGUGUACAGAAUCUGUUCAAUGCCGAAUAGAAGUGGUGAUAGCAGACAUCUCUGUCUUGCUCCUGAUUUUUUGAAGGAAGUGCAUACAUGCAAGUUUUGGUCAUGAAAAGAAAGAUGUUUGCUAUAGUUUUUUUUGUUUGUUUUUGUUUUUGUUUUUUGUCUUUUUGCCAUUUCUUGGGCCGCUACCGUGGCACAUGGAGAUUCCCAGGCUCGGGGUCGAAUUGGAGCUGUAGGCUCUGGCCUACGCCAGAGCCACAGCAACACGGGAUCCAAGCCUUGUCUGCAACCUACACCACAGCUCACGGCAAUGCUGGAUCCCCAAGCCACUGAGCAAGGCCAGGGAUCGAACCCGCAACCUCAUGGUUCCUAGUUGGAUUCAUUAACCACUGUGCCACGACGGGAACUCCUGCUAUAGUUUUUUUAAAUGUACAUUUCAUCAAGAUAAAAAUAAAGUCUCCUUCUAGUUUCGUUUUGCAAAAGGCGUGUUGGGAUUUUAUUUGUUUAAUAUUUAUAAAUGCACAUUGUUUAGAGCAGUGAUUAGAAAACUACAGCUCAAUCCAAAUCAAGUCUAUUUUUACACAGCCCAUAAACUAUGAAUGAUUUUUUUCAUUUUUCAAAUGAAAAGAAAAAAUAUUUUAUGACAACUGAAAUUACAUAAAAUUCAAAUUUCAGUGUCUAUUAAUAAAGUUUUAUUGGAAUGCGGCAAUAUCCAUUUGUUUAUGGAUGGUCUAUGGUGCUUGUGCACCACAAAGUCAUCGUUAAGUAGUUGCAACAGAGACCAUAUGGCCUGCACAGCCUAGAAUAUUUACUAUCUAGCCCUUUAUAGAAAAGAUUUGCCAGCCCGUGGUCUAGAAUCACACAGUUAUAUACAAUUUGUUAUGAAAAACAGCAAAACCGCACUUACCUCUUCCCUCAUUAUCCCAUCCCCAAAGGCAACCACUUCUAUCUCUUUUAGUUGAUUAUUUUAGUAUUUACUUCUGUUUCUCUCAAUAGCAUAACUACAGUAUAACUUCUUUAAUCUUUGACUUUGGGAACUAUAUAUUAUCUUUCCACUAUGGGAGAUGAGGAUAUAACUAUCUUCUUCACUUCACCCCACCAUCCAUAUCUCUGUCAUCCAUCUUUUUCUCCAAUAUUAUAUAUAUUAUGUAAACUAUAUAAUAAUUUGGGUAGGUAAAUAUUCUUUGUUAUGACUCUGUUAAUGCAACUCAUAGUUGAGCCAUGUAGUAGACUUUGGUUUCUUUUCUAAUGCAAAGCUUUUUAUUUUUCCUGGCAUAAUUAUCUUUUUUUUUUUUUAAUGUUGUUUCCUUAGUUUUGUUUUUACCAAUUCAACCUGAAAGUCUUCACCAAUUGUCUAAAUUUCUUCCCAGGAUGUUCAGAUGCAUUGGCAGCUUCACUAAUCUCACCAUCCUGAAGAAGUUGACUAGAGCUUUCUAGCUCACUGCCAUCUGGACAUUUUUAUUGAGGCCAUCAGGAGUCCGAGAUGAAUCUCACUGAGCUAAAACCAAGGUGCUGCCAGAGCUGGUUCCUCCUGGAGACACUGAGUGCAGAAUCUACUUUCCUGCCCUUUUUGGCUUCCAUGCAUUAUUUCCAUCUCUAGCUACUGCCAUCAUCUGUACUACUGACACCGAUUCUAUUGACUUUCUCUCAUAAGCACCUUUAUAAUUACACCGGGUCCCUCCAGAUAAUCCAGCAUGAUUUCCCUUUCUCAAGAGCCUUAAGCUUUAACUUAAUCACAUCUACAAGGUCCCUUUGAAUGAGCAAGAUAACGUAAUCAUAGGGUUGGGGAUUAGGACAAAGACAUGUGUUGGAGUCUCUUAUUCAGCUCUAUACAUAUAGGACAUCUUUCCUGGUAAUUCCAAUAUCUAGAUUUUUCUGUAUGUCUCUAUUCUAGUUUGGUGUCUUUGGUUUUUUUUUUUUUUUUUUUUUUUUUUUCCCCUCUUGGUUUUCCACCAUUUGGUCUUGUUCCUUGAUAAGCUUGAUACAUUUUUUUUAGUGCACCCUGGUCUUAAGCUUGAAAAACUAUAAAGAUAAGUUAAGAAUCUGCAUGGUGUUAUCUUCCUCCAGAGAGUAUUAGAGGUUAUUAGAGUAGGGGCAGAUUACUUUAUGCCAGAAUAGGACCAUUCCAAUUCCAAACUGAGUUUCUGUCUUUAUGAUGGCUGAUCGGUUUCUGAAUUAUCUGUUUCUGAACCAUCUUAAUCCUGGAAUGUAACUCCACAGGGACACUUGACAAGUCCAGCCAAAUUGCUGCCCAGCUUUUCAGUCUCACAGCUACUGCUUUCUGCCACUCAGCCUCUCAGAUUCUUAGCUGCAACUUACAAAUCAGAAAAUGCCUCAGGGUUCAUCUCUCAACUUUUUCUCCUGAAUCUUGGCUUCUCAAAAAGAUUUGAUGCCUUUUCAAAAAGAUUUUUAGCAGAGUUCUUGUGUGACUCAGUGGCUUAAGGACCUGGCAUUGUUAUGGUUAUGUCUCAGGUCGCUGCUUUGCUACUGAGGCACAGCGUUCUGUCCAUGGCCUGGGAACUUCUGCAUGUUGUGAGUACAGCCAAAAAAAAAAAAAAAAA